RNAcentral lists this ribosomal RNA (465 nucleotides) under uncultured bacterium. Its description in RNAcentral is "partial 16S ribosomal RNA". It matches the Rfam family "Bacterial small subunit ribosomal RNA", at positions 28 to 507 of the family's 1533-position model. The record is from RNAcentral.
GACGAACGCUGGCGGCGUGCUUAACACAUGCAAGUCGAACGGAAAGGCCCUGCUUGCAGGGUACUCGAGUGGCGAACGGGUGAGUAACACGUGGGUGAUCUGCCCUGCACUUCGGGAUAAGCCUGGGAAACUGGGUCUAAUACCGGAUAGGAGCCAUUUUUAGUGUGAUGGUUGGAAAGUUUUUUCGGUGUAGGAGGAGCUCGCGGCCUAUCAGCUUGUUGGUGGGGUAAUGGCCUACCAAGGCGGCGACGGGUAGCCGGCCUGAGAGGGUGGACGGCCACAUUGGGACUGAGAUACGGCCCAGACUCCUACGGGAGGCAGCAGUGGGGAAUAUUGCACAAUGGGCGCAAGCCUGAUGCAGCGACGCCGCGUGGGGGAUGACGGCCUUCGGGUUGUAAACUCCUUUCGCUAGGGACGAAGCUUUUUGUGACGGUACCUAGAUAAGAAGCACCGGCUAACUACGUG